GGGAACAAAUGUAAAAUAAAGAUAUCCUGUACCAUGUAAGAAUAAAAAGAAAGUAAAUGAGUGUGAAUGCAAUAUCUAUCUGAUAAGGCAGCGCGUGUGUGUGUGUGUGUGUACACACUAUACCUGGUUGUUAGAGAUGGACACUCGUAGAGGAGACAGCUUCCUCUGUUUGCUGUCGUUGUUCGGUUUACUCUUGGGUCCUUCACAGUCCAGGGUGAGGUUCUGGUUCUGUCCGGCCUCGUCCCGAAUCGCCGGCUCUUUAUCUUUCCUUCCUCUGCGCCGUGUAGCAGAACCCAGGUUCUCCGUUGGCUCCAGGUUGUGUUUGAGAACAGGACAUUCCUGAUUCCCUCUUACACAUGCACAGUCCACCUUAUAUUUACUACACACACAGACAGAGAGAUGAGUGUCAAAGAGGGUGUACAUGGUUAUUCUAUACUUUUUUGAGAAGGUGAAUGUUGCUGAUUUUUGAAGGUGAAAUGUUGGGGUCUGAAGGGGAAUGUUGAAGGGGAAUGUUGGGGUCUGAAGGGGAAUGUUGAAGGGGAAUGUUGGGGUCUGAAGGGGAAUGUUAAAGGCGAAUGUUGGCGUCUGAAGGGGAAUGAUGAAGGGGAAUGUUGGGGUCUGAAGGGGAACGUUGAAGGCAAACGUUGGGGUCUGAAGGGGAAUGUUGAAGGUGAAUGUUGGGGUCUGAAGGGGAAUGUUGAAGGUGAAUGUUGGGGUCUGAAGGGGAUUGUUGAAGGCGAAUGUUGGGGUCUGAAGGGGAAUGUUGAAGGUGAAUGUUGGGGUCUGAAGGGGAAUGUUGAAGGUGAAUGUUGGGGUCUGAAGGGGAAUGUUGAAGGUGAAUGUUGGGGUCUGAAGGGGAAUGUUGAAGGCGAAUGUUGGGGUCUGAAGGGGAAUGUUGAAGGCGAAUGUUGGGG
Long non-coding RNA from Ictalurus punctatus (channel catfish), 914 nucleotides. NCBI's taxonomy places the organism in Eukaryota, Metazoa, Chordata, Actinopteri, Siluriformes, Ictaluridae. The record is from Ensembl.